Molecule: ribosomal RNA, 274 nt
Filed under: uncultured bacterium
Lineage: Bacteria
Description: partial 16S ribosomal RNA
Rfam family: Bacterial small subunit ribosomal RNA
Source: RNAcentral
AUACGGAGGGUGCAAGCGUUACUCGGAAUCACUGGGCGUAAAGCGCGCGCAGGCGGCUAUUUAAGUUGGAUGUGAAAGCCUACGGCUCAACCGUAGAACUGCAUCCAAAACUAUUUAGCUAGAGUGUGGGAGAGGAAGAUGGAAUUAGUUGUGUAGGGGUAAAAUCCGUAGAGAUAACUAGGAAUACCAAAAGCGAAGGCAAUCUUCUGGAACACUACUGACGCUAAGGCGCGAAAGCGUGGGGAGCAAACAGGAUUAGAUACCCUUGUAGUCC